This 1530-nucleotide ribosomal RNA is filed under the name Escherichia coli. RNAcentral's name for it is "bacterial SSU rRNA". It matches the Rfam family "Bacterial small subunit ribosomal RNA". The record is from RNAcentral. Lineage: Bacteria; Pseudomonadati; Pseudomonadota; Gammaproteobacteria; Enterobacterales; Enterobacteriaceae.
AGAGUUUGAUCAUGGCUCAGAUUGAACGCUGGCGGCAGGCCUAACACAUGCAAGUCGAACGGUAACAGGAAGCAGCUUGCUGCUUCGCUGACGAGUGGCGGACGGGUGAGUAAUGUCUGGGAAACUGCCUGAUGGAGGGGGAUAACUACUGGAAACGGUAGCUAAUACCGCAUAAUGUCGCAAGACCAAAGAGGGGGACCUUCGGGCCUCUUGCCAUCGGAUGUGCCCAGAUGGGAUUAGCUUGUUGGUGGGGUAACGGCUCACCAAGGCGACGAUCCCUAGCUGGUCUGAGAGGAUGACCAGCCACACUGGAACUGAGACACGGUCCAGACUCCUACGGGAGGCAGCAGUGGGGAAUAUUGCACAAUGGGCGCAAGCCUGAUGCAGCCAUGCCGCGUGUAUGAAGAAGGCCUUCGGGUUGUAAAGUACUUUCAGCGGGGAGGAAGGGAGUAAAGUUAAUACCUUUGCUCAUUGACGUUACCCGCAGAAGAAGCACCGGCUAACUCCGUGCCAGCAGCCGCGGUAAUACGGAGGGUGCAAGCGUUAAUCGGAAUUACUGGGCGUAAAGCGCACGCAGGCGGUUUGUUAAGUCAGAUGUGAAAUCCCCGGGCUCAACCUGGGAACUGCAUCUGAUACUGGCAAGCUUGAGUCUCGUAGAGGGGGGUAGAAUUCCAGGUGUAGCGGUGAAAUGCGUAGAGAUCUGGAGGAAUACCGGUGGCGAAGGCGGCCCCCUGGACGAAGACUGACGCUCAGGUGCGAAAGCGUGGGGAGCAAACAGGAUUAGAUACCCUGGUAGUCCACGCCGUAAACGAUGUCGACUUGGAGGUUGUGCCCUUGAGGCGUGGCUUCCGGAGCUAACGCGUUAAGUCGACCGCCUGGGGAGUACGGCCGCAAGGUUAAAACUCAAAUGAAUUGACGGGGGCCCGCACAAGCGGUGGAGCAUGUGGUUUAAUUCGAUGCAACGCGAAGAACCUUACCUGGUCUUGACAUCCACAGAACUUUCCAGAGAUGGAUUGGUGCCUUCGGGAACUGUGAGACAGGUGCUGCAUGGCUGUCGUCAGCUCGUGUUGUGAAAUGUUGGGUUAAGUCCCGCAACGAGCGCAACCCUUAUCCUUUGUUGCCAGCGGUCCGGCCGGGAACUCAAAGGAGACUGCCAGUGAUAAACUGGAGGAAGGUGGGGAUGACGUCAAGUCAUCAUGGCCCUUACGACCAGGGCUACACACGUGCUACAAUGGCGCAUACAAAGAGAAGCGACCUCGCGAGAGCAAGCGGACCUCAUAAAGUGCGUCGUAGUCCGGAUUGGAGUCUGCAACUCGACUCCAUGAAGUCGGAAUCGCUAGUAAUCGUGGAUCAGAAUGCCACGGUGAAUACGUUCCCGGGCCUUGUACACACCGCCCGUCACACCAUGGGAGUGGGUUGCAAAAGAAGUAGGUAGCUUAACCUUCGGGAGAGCGCUUACCACUUUGUGAUUCAUGACUGGGGUGAAGUCGUAACAAGGUAACCGUAGGGGAACCUGCGGUUGGAUCACCU